AAAUCUAUUAAACUGAUUUUUUUUUCACGCUAUGGAGCACACUGCGUUAAUAAGAGGUACCUGAAAGUGUAUGGGAAUGUAUAAAGAAUUGACGGAUCUUGCUCUCUGAGACUGAGCAGACUACUGCUGCUCUCUAUAGGUUGCCCUUGGAUACCUGGUGAACCCUUCUCUCCUGGGAAUCCACAGAGUCCUUAAAGAAAAAAAUCAGAGGUACCUGGUAAUCCGGGAUCUCCAGGAGGCCCUUUUCGACCAUGUGUACCAAGCAGAGGAGUUGGGUCACCUCUCUUGCCUGUUGAGGAAACCCUGGUUCCCCCUUUUGUCCUUUCUCAAGACGGAUAUUAACACCGCCACUGUCUCCUGGAGGUCCUCCUUCACCUUUGAACCAAACAUAUGGAAUUUCCAGCCAAAGCUCUCUGUUCAGCCAGGCCAGUC
Molecule: long non-coding RNA, 432 nt
Organism: Haliaeetus leucocephalus (bald eagle)
Lineage: Eukaryota; Metazoa; Chordata; Aves; Accipitriformes; Accipitridae
Exons: 5
Source: RefSeq, a predicted model, not a curated record